CUAUAAUUUUACAAAAUGGAUUUAUAUUAAAUGAGAGCAAUGCAUAGACAUUAGGUUAUCUCAUAAGUAGUGCGUCGUCGUCGGCUUUCAUAUUGCUAGAUGAAAAUAAACAAUUACCUCCGAGCGAUCGAUCAGUGAUGAAUUUUCUCAAAAACCAUAUUACUUAUGGAAUGACCAAUACGAUAUAUAGAAUAGAAUGAAUUUUUGGGAAAAGAGGUACUAAAAUUCAUUGUUCCUGUGACUCGUGGGUGCUGGGAGCACGAGGAAAGUCAGACUACCCUGCAUACCGGCUAGAAUAUCGCACACCUCGUUCACGCUCUUGCCACGCAUUUCCACGCCAUUUACUUCCAGAACCUCAUCGCCUUCGUGUAGGAGUCCAGACUUGUCUGCCGCUCCUCCGCGUACAACACGACCUUCGUAAACAUUAUUAUGGUUUUCGUACAAUUUUAUCGGAAAAAGAAACCAAAAUACCUAUUAUAACAGCGUCACCCUCGUUCCUAACCGUAGCACCUAAAGGUUCGUUAGUUUUCUCGAUUCUGAUAAUUUUAAUGUUGUCCACGACCCGGGAGCCUCUC
Molecule: long non-coding RNA, 575 nt
Organism: Bombus huntii
Lineage: Eukaryota; Metazoa; Arthropoda; Insecta; Hymenoptera; Apidae
Exons: 4
Source: RefSeq, a predicted model, not a curated record